Molecule: non-coding RNA, 125 nt
Organism: Triticum aestivum (bread wheat)
Lineage: Eukaryota; Viridiplantae; Streptophyta; Magnoliopsida; Poales; Poaceae
Source: Rfam
GACAUACUCCCUCCAUCCGGAAAUACUUGUCUAAGAAAUGGAUGUACCUACAUGUAAUUUAGUUCUAGAUACAUCCAUUUUUAUCCAUUUCUUCGACAAGUAUUUCGGGACGGAGGGAGUAUUAU